GUCCUUGUCGAUUAGUGGUUAGAUCAUCACGUUGUGGAACUACAUAGCCGUGAAGACGGAGGCUCGAAUCCUCCCUGGGACA
Molecule: transfer RNA, 82 nt
Filed under: Trametes pubescens
Lineage: Eukaryota; Fungi; Basidiomycota; Agaricomycetes; Polyporales; Polyporaceae
Rfam family: tRNA
About the family: Transfer RNA (tRNA) molecules are approximately 80 nucleotides in length. Their secondary structure includes four short double-helical elements and three loops (D, anti-codon, and T loops). Further hydrogen bonds mediate the characteristic L-shaped molecular structure. tRNAs have two regions of fundamental functional importance: the anti-codon, which is responsible for specific mRNA codon recognition, and the 3' end, to which the tRNAs corresponding amino acid is attached (by aminoacyl-tRNA synthetases). tRNAs cope with the degeneracy of the genetic code in two manners: having more than one tRNA (with a specific anti-codon) for a particular amino acid; and 'wobble' base-pairing, i.e. permitting non-standard base-pairing at the 3rd anti-codon position.
Source: Rfam by way of RNAcentral